This 77-nucleotide transfer RNA is filed under the name Clostridiales bacterium. RNAcentral's name for it is "tRNA-Met". It matches the Rfam family "tRNA". Rfam says of the family: Transfer RNA (tRNA) molecules are approximately 80 nucleotides in length. Their secondary structure includes four short double-helical elements and three loops (D, anti-codon, and T loops). Lineage: Bacteria; Bacillati; Bacillota; Clostridia; Eubacteriales. The record is from RNAcentral.
GGCGGCGUAGCUUAGCAGGUUAGAGCAGUCGGUUCAUACCCGACAGGUCGUUGGUUCAAAUCUGACCGCCGCUACCA